Molecule: ribosomal RNA, 225 nt
Filed under: uncultured bacterium
Lineage: Bacteria
Description: partial 16S ribosomal RNA
Rfam family: Bacterial small subunit ribosomal RNA
Source: RNAcentral
CAAAANACGGUCCCACGUUCAGAUUGCAGGCUGCAACUCGCCUGCAUGAAGGCGGAAUUGCUAGUAAUCGCGAAUCAGGAUGUCGCGGUGAAUACGUUCCCGGGCCUUGUACACACCGCCCGUCACACCAUGAGAGUUGGGAAUACCCGAAGCCUGUGAGCUAGCGUUAAGAGGCAGCAGUCGAAGGUAGAAUCAAUGAUUGGGGUGAAGUCGUAACAAGGUAUC